GAGUUUGAUCAUGGCUCAGAACGAACGCUGGCGGCAGGCUUAACACAUGCAAGUCGAGCGCACAGUUUACUGUGAGCGGCAGACGGGUGAGUAACGCGUGGGAAUCUACCUUGAGCUACGGGAUAACAGAGAGAAAUUUCUGCUAAUACCGUAUGUGGCCUUUGGGCGAAAGAUUUAUCGGCUUAAGAUGAGCCCGCGUUGGAUUAGCUGGUUGGUGGGGUAAAGGCCUACCAAGGCGACGAUCCAUAGCUGGUCUGAGAGGAUGAUCAGCCACACUGGGACUGAGACACGGCCCAGACUCCUACGGGAGGCAGCAGUGGGGAAUAUUGGACAAUGGGCGCAAGCCUGAUCCAGCCAUGCCGCGUGAGUGAAGAAGGCCUUAGGGUUGUAAAGCUCUUUCACCGGUGAAGAUAAUGACGGUAGCCGGAGAAGAAGCCCCGGCUAACUUCGUGCCAGCAGCCGCGGUAAUACGAAGGGGGCUAGCGUUGUUCGGAUUUACUGGGCGUAAAGCGCGCGUAGGCGGAUAGAUAAGUCAGAGGUGAAAUCCCGGGGCUCAACCCCGGAAUUGCCUUUGAUACUGUUUAUCUUGAGUGCAGAAGAGGUAAGUGGAAUUCCGAGUGUAGAGGUGAAAUUCGUAGAUAUUCGGAGGAACACCAGUGGCGAAAGCGGCUUACUGGUCUGCAACUGACGCUGAGCGCGAAAGCGUGGGGAGCAACAGG
This 719-nucleotide ribosomal RNA is filed under the name uncultured Hyphomicrobiales bacterium. RNAcentral's name for it is "bacterial SSU rRNA". It matches the Rfam family "Bacterial small subunit ribosomal RNA", at positions 9 to 775 of the family's 1533-position model. Lineage: Bacteria; Pseudomonadati; Pseudomonadota; Alphaproteobacteria; Hyphomicrobiales. The record is from RNAcentral.